RNAcentral lists this ribosomal RNA (961 nucleotides) under Streptomyces sp. RNAcentral describes it as "bacterial SSU rRNA". It matches the Rfam family "Bacterial small subunit ribosomal RNA", at positions 95 to 1071 of the family's 1533-position model. Lineage: Bacteria; Bacillati; Actinomycetota; Actinomycetes; Kitasatosporales; Streptomycetaceae. The record is from RNAcentral.
GUGGCGAACGGGUGAGUAACACGUGGGCAAUCUGCCUUCACUCUGGGACAAGCCCUGGAAACGGGGUCUAAUACCGGAUAACACUUCUCCAGGCAUCUGGAGGGGUUAAAAGCUCCGGCGGUGAAGGAUGAGCCCGCGGCCUAUCAGCUUGUUGGUGAGGUAGUGGCUCACCAAGGCGACGACGGGUAGCCGGCCUGAGAGGGCGACCGGCCACACUGGGACUGAGACACGGCCCAGACUCCUACGGGAGGCAGCAGUGGGGAAUAUUGCACAAUGGGCGAAAGCCUGAUGCAGCGACGCCGCGUGAGGGAUGACGGCCUUCGGGUUGUAAACCUCUUUCAGCAGGGAAGAAGCGAAAGUGACGGUACCUGCAGAAGAAGCGCCGGCUAACUACGUGCCAGCAGCCGCGGUAAUACGUAGGGCGCAAGCGUUGUCCGGAAUUAUUGGGCGUAAAGAGCUCGUAGGCGGUCUGUCACGUCGGAUGUGAAAGCCCGGGGCUUAACCCCGGGUCUGCAUUCGAUACGGGCAGACUAGAGUGUGGUAGGGGAGAUCGGAAUUCCUGGUGUAGCGGUGAAAUGCGCAGAUAUCAGGAGGAACACCGGUGGCGAAGGCGGAUCUCUGGGCCAUUACUGACGCUGAGGAGCGAAAGCGUGGGGAGCGAACAGGAUUAGAUACCCUGGUAGUCCACGCCGUAAACGGUGGGAACUAGGUGUUGGCGACAUUCCACGUCGUCGGUGCCGCAGCUAACGCAUUAAGUUCCCCGCCUGGGGAGUACGGCCGCAAGGCUAAAACUCAAGGAAUUGACGGGGGCCCGCACAAGCAGCGGAGCAUGUGGCUUAAUUCGACGCAACGCGAAGAACCUUACCAAGGCUUGACAUACACCUGGAAAGCAUUAGAGAUAGUGCCCCCCUUGUGGUCGGUGUACAGGUGGUGCAUGGCUGUCGUCAGCUCGUGUCGUGAG